Molecule: ribosomal RNA, 504 nt
Filed under: uncultured bacterium
Lineage: Bacteria
Description: partial 16S ribosomal RNA
Rfam family: Bacterial small subunit ribosomal RNA
Source: RNAcentral
GAUGAACGCUAGCGGCAGACCUAAUACAUGCAAGUCGACCGGGAUCUGAGGGUAGCUUGCUACCCGAUUUGAGAGUGGCGCACGGGUGCGUAACGCGUGAGCAACCUACCCAUAUCAGGGGGAUAGCCCGAAGAAAUUCGGAUUAACACCGCAUAAUAAUACGCUAACACAUGUUGAUGUAUUUAAAUAUUUAUAGGAUAUGGAUGGGCUCGCGUGACACUAGCUAGUUGGUAAGGUAACGGCUUACCAAGGCGACGAUGUCUAGGGGCUCUGAGAGGAGAAUCCCCCACACUGGUACUGAGACACGGACCAGACUCCUACGGGAGGCAGCAGUAAGGAAUAUUGGUCAAUGGGCGCAAGCCUGAACCAGCCAUGCCGCGUGCAGGAUGACUGCCCUAUGGGUUGUAAACUGCUUUUGUUAGGGAAUAAACCUUCUUACGUGUAAGGAGCUGAAUGUACCUAAAGGAUAAGGAUCGGCUAACUCCGUGCCAGCAGCCGCCGCAG